Molecule: ribosomal RNA, 448 nt
Filed under: uncultured bacterium
Lineage: Bacteria
Description: partial 16S ribosomal RNA
Rfam family: Bacterial small subunit ribosomal RNA
Source: RNAcentral
GCUUAACACAUGCAAGUCGAACGAGUAAGUGCUGUAGUAAUACAGGUUACUGCUAGUGGCAGACGGGUGAGUAAUACAUGGGAAUCUGCCUUAGAGCCUGGGAUAACUGUUGGAAACGACAGCUAAUACCGGAUAACACCGAGAGGUCAAAGAUUUAUCGCUUUAAGAUGAGCCCAUGCAAGAUUAGCUAGUUGGUAGGGUAAAGGCCUACCAAGGCGACGAUCAGUAGCUGGUCUGAGAGGAUGAUCAGCCUCACUGGGACUGAGACACGGCCCAGACUCCUACGGGAGGCAGCAGUGGGGAAUAUUGGACAAUGGGCGCAAGCCUGAUCCAGCCAUGCCGCGUGGGUGAUGAAGGCCCUAGGGUUGUAAAGCCCUUUCGGCGGGGAAGAUAAUGACGGUACCCGCAGAAGAAGCCCCGGCUAACUUCGUGCCAGCCGCCGCCGUAA